Dioscorea cayenensis subsp. rotundata (Guinea yam) is the source of this 1075-nucleotide long non-coding RNA. RefSeq lists it as uncharacterized. The transcript has 3 exons. NCBI's taxonomy places the organism in Eukaryota, Viridiplantae, Streptophyta, Magnoliopsida, Dioscoreales, Dioscoreaceae. The record is from RefSeq and is a predicted model, not a curated record.
CGACGAUGGUGAUCGUCGGAGCAUCUCGAGGAGGUUUCCGGCAUCGAUUUAUCGGCGAAGAAGCUCUUCAUUAUCGAGGGCGUGAUUAUUUCACUGAGAAGUGUCAAUGGCGGGAAGAUAUGAAGGGGAUAAGGAAAGCCUUGUUAUCAAGCAUCUACUAGUCUUAAUCAGAACCGACAAGAGAUCCACCGCAUAUCUUCGCCGGUUUGCCACUUAGCAUUUGAUUCUCUCACAUUUUUUCCUCAUUUCUAUUGUCUACAUUACAGUGAGAAGGAUGAGGACAUCUCCGGCGACCAUUGCUUUGAUCCUAGGUACAAGGCAAGGCCUACCCCAGCGUUCACUCUUUUCAAUCUUAUCCAAAAUCUGUAGCAAGAUCACAACAGACUAUAUGUGGAGACAUGUCUAAUGUACUGCAUAUCACACUAGUCAAAGAUGCCAAGACGAAUAAACUUGUACAAUUCAGCGGUUUAAAUACCAUUUUAAAUAAUAAAUUAAUAUAGUGAACAAGAUUUCUGCUACAUAGUGAGAACUGAAGAGUAAUAUUGUCCUCUUUCAGACUCAACCCUUUUGAUGGAGGGAACAUUGAACCAUAAUUAGUGCUGAUGCUUAUGCAAAGUGAAUCAUAAUUAGUGGUGUUUAAUAAUAGAGGUUCAUUCUGAAACUCAAAUGAUGGUGUCUAGAGGAGCGUGAAGAUUCUUGAAACCACAAAGGAGUGCAAGUCAAAGAAAUCUUUUUAAUAUGGAUAAGGUGGGAGGAAGAGGUGGGCUUAGUGUGAUAACGUUUGGUCUGUUCCAAAAGCCAAACAGUACUUGUAAAGUCAAAAGUGGAAUCCACACAGUAACUAGUGCUUGAGAUUCAUAUCACAUACCCACCCAAGCACAUUCCAUUUCUCCAUCCUCAGUAGCUAAUUGGAUUCCAGGACACAAGGACAAGACCUCAUGUGGUCCUAUGCAUUCUUGACCUCUAGUGGCUGGAUUGGUUGAAGAUGGAAUAGUUUGUACAGUUUCAGUGGAUAUUCAUGUUUUCUAUUAUUAACCUUGAAUAUAAUUUGCUAAUUCAUCCAAACAAUCAAAUU